ACACAUGCAAGUCGAACGGCAGCGGGGACGUUCGGUCCGCCGGCGAGUGGCGAACGGGUGAGUAAUGCAUCGGAACGUGCCUAUCAGUGGGGGAUAACGCUUCGAAAGGAGUGCUAAUACCGCAUAUUCUCUGAGGAGGAAAGCAGGGGACCUUAGGGCCUUGCGCUGAUAGAGCGGCCGAUGUCGGAUUAGCUAGUUGGUGAGGUAAAGGCUCACCAAGGCGACGAUCCGUAGCGGGUCUGAGAGGAUGAUCCUCCACACUGGGGACUGAGACACGGCCCAGACUCCUACGGGAGGCAGUAGUGGGGAAUUUUGGACAAUGGGCGAAAGCCUGAUCCAGCCAUGCCGCGUGAGUGAAGAAGGCCUUCGGGUUGUAAAGCUCUUUUGUCCGGGAGGAAAAUCCUGGCCUCUAAUACAGGUCGGGGAUGACAGUACUGGAAGAAUAAGCACCGGCUAACUACGUGCCAGCAGCCGCGGUAAUACGUAGGGUGCAA
Molecule: ribosomal RNA, 494 nt
Filed under: uncultured bacterium
Lineage: Bacteria
Description: bacterial SSU rRNA
Rfam family: Bacterial small subunit ribosomal RNA
Source: RNAcentral